UUGGCCCAGGCCGCUUUCACGCACUUUUCCUCCGUCCUCGGCGCCCCCGCAGAGCGCGGGUUCACCCUGGACCUGGUUGCCAGUGGCCAGCGCUCCUUUGACCUCUCUGCCCUGGAUCACCCGUUCUCGUCAGCGGAGAUUUGGGAGGCUAUCAAGCGGCUUCCUUCCAGAAAAGCCCCCGGUCCUGACGGUUUCACAGCCGAGUUCUUGCGCUCAUGUUGGCUCAUCAUCAAAGAUGACCUUUGCGACGUCUUCGACAAGCUCUACGCGCUAAAUGGCCAGGCCUUUCAAUGGCUCAACGAGGCGUACAUCACUCUGCUGCCCAAGCGGCCCGAUGCCGCCUCGCUCUUUGAUUACCGGCCGAUCAGUCUCAUCCACCUGAUCGCGAAGCUGUUUGCUAAGGUUCUUUCGCUUCGGUUGGCGCCGCGUCUUGGCGAACUCAUCUCCCCCAACCAAAGUGCUUUCAUCUCUGGAAGAAGUGUCCAUGAUAACUUCCUCCUCGUCCAGUAG
This 510-nucleotide ribosomal RNA is filed under the name Triticum aestivum (bread wheat). Its description in RNAcentral is "partial small subunit ribosomal RNA". The record is from RNAcentral. Lineage: Eukaryota; Viridiplantae; Streptophyta; Magnoliopsida; Poales; Poaceae.